This 480-nucleotide long non-coding RNA is filed under the name Sorghum bicolor (sorghum). RNAcentral's name for it is "long non-coding RNA (SBIC_LNC007840)". The record is from RNAcentral. Lineage: Eukaryota; Viridiplantae; Streptophyta; Magnoliopsida; Poales; Poaceae.
GGGUAAGAGGCCCCAGCCGUUGGGCUGGGCCUGAGAUCAACCUAACACUGCGGCCAAGUUACAGUCUGCAAGGAAGAUGAGUGCUCGGCAACGUGCGCCGUCCUGGGAAUCAAUGGUGUCGGGCAAUGCAAGGUCGCCGGCGGUGUGCCCACCUGCUGCUGCUUCGUCCCAACAAAACCAUCCGCCUCCGUCGUCGGUGUCCAGUCCACCCAGCUUCCGCAUUGACCCGUCUCUAGAUUAAUGCAUGAAUCCGUCGCUAAAUUGAUGCAUGAAUCAGUCCAAAAGUUUUGUCAUACUUGUUUCUCCGAUUGAUUUUGAAUCAGUUGCAUUGGGUAAGAUAUGGUGAUAUAGUACUACAGUGUCUACAUCUGAUGUGCCUCUUUUGUGUUCUUAAUUGUUUGAUCCUCCUUGGUCACAAGCGUCAUUGUUCAUAUUUCAUAACACAUUACUACGGCCGCGUUUGAUCCGGGCAAGUUGACA